RNAcentral lists this ribosomal RNA (429 nucleotides) under uncultured archaeon. Its description in RNAcentral is "bacterial SSU rRNA". It matches the Rfam family "Archaeal small subunit ribosomal RNA", at positions 474 to 903 of the family's 1478-position model. The record is from RNAcentral.
CACCAGCCCCUCGAGUGGUGGGGAUGAUUAUUUGGCCUAAAGCGUCCGUAGCCGGCCGGAUAAGUUUCCCGUUAAAUCCAACGUCUCAAGCGUUGGACUGCGGGAAAUACUGUCUGGCUAGAGAGUGGGAGAGGUUAGCGGUAUUCUGGGGGUAGGGGCGAAAUCCUUUGAUCCCCGGAGGACCACCAGUGGCGAAGGCUGCUAACUAGAACACGUCUGACGGUCAGGGACGAAAGCUGGGGUAGCGAACCGGAUUAGAUACCCGGGUAGUCCCAGCCGUAAACGAUGCAUGCUAGGUGUUGGGUUGGCCACGAGCCACCCCAGUGCCGCAGGGGAGCCGUUAAGCAUGCCGCCUGGGAAGUACGAUCGCAAGAUUGAAACUUAAAGGAAUUGGCGGGGGAGCACCACCAGGUGUGAAGCUUGCGGUUU